AUACGUAGGGGGCAAGCGUUAUCCGGAAUUACUGGGUGUAAAGGGAGCGUAGGCGGGAUCGCAAGUCAGAUGUGAAAUACAUGGGCUUAACCCAUGGGCUGCAUUUGAAACUGUGGUUCUUGAGUGAAGUAGAGGUAAGCGGAAUUCCUGGUGUAGCGGUGAAAUGCGUAGAUAUCAGGAGGAACACCGGUGGCGAAGGCGGCUUACUGGGCUUUUACUGACGCUGAGGCUCGAAAGCGUGGGGAGCAAACAGGAUUAGAUACCCUGGUAGUCCACGCUGUAAACGAUGAUUACUAGGUGUGGGGGGACUGACCCCUUCCGUGCCGCAGUUAACACAAUAAGUAAUCCACCUGGGGAGUACGGCCGCAAGGUUGAAACUCAAAUGAAUUGACGGGG
Molecule: ribosomal RNA, 396 nt
Filed under: uncultured bacterium
Lineage: Bacteria
Description: partial 16S ribosomal RNA
Rfam family: Bacterial small subunit ribosomal RNA
Source: RNAcentral